CCCGAAACCCGGUGAUCUAGCCAUGGGCAGGUUGAAGGUUGGGUAACACUAACUGGAGGACCGAACCGACUAAUGUUGAAAAAUUAGCGGAUGACUUGUGGCUGGGGGUGAAAGGCCAAUCAAACCGGGAGAUAGCUGGUUCUCCCCGAAAGCUAUUUAGGUAGCGCCUCGUGAAUUCAUCUCCGGGGGUAGAGCACUGUUUCGGCAAGGGGGUCAUCCCGACUUACCAACCCGAUGCAAACUGCGAAUACCGGAGAAUGUUAUCACGGGAGACACACGGCGGGUGCUAACGUCCGUCGUGAAGAGGGAAACAACCCAGACCGCCAGCUAAGGUCCCA
Molecule: ribosomal RNA, 338 nt
Filed under: Escherichia coli 2-427-07_S4_C3
Lineage: Bacteria; Pseudomonadati; Pseudomonadota; Gammaproteobacteria; Enterobacterales; Enterobacteriaceae
Description: partial 16S ribosomal RNA
Rfam family: Bacterial large subunit ribosomal RNA
Source: RNAcentral